CCAUAGCCAUUUCUAACUACAAUUGAUGCUGGAAAAUGAGGAGGUGUUGUUUUGGUUUGAUUUUAGCUAGGCACAAUCGUUCUGUUUGUAGAGAGGAAGGGGAGAGUGAUGAUUGAGAAGGCAGCUAGCACUGUCUGCCACAGAUUAAUGCAGAGUGCAUCUUCCAACUCAAGAAGUGAGCUGCUUGACUGGGUUGCUAAAGAGAGAAAUUCUCCUUACCUGACCACCUUACUGGAUAGGCUGAUUGGGGAUAAGAGAGGAGAGAGUCAAGUUGAGGACCAUGAGGCGCCACUGUGGGGAGAUGAAUACCAGCCAUCAGCAGCCUCCGCCUCUGCCAGCAAGUCAAGGGGUGAGCGAGCAGCCACUGAGAAUCACAGGUGCAGAGUCACCAGGCAGUGGUUGCACUUUCCAGACCCCUUUCCGCUCAAUGCCCACAUUCUUUCUACACUGGACGCUAAAUUUGAUCCCAGACUGUCAUUUGUGAUGGCAUGAGGGGUCAUUGCAGCUCUGGAGACACUGAAUCAAUACCAGAGAGGACAAGGGGUCUUGAGAAGAAGCAUCGGGAAUUAGAAUCUAAUAUACAAGAGGAUCACGAAAUGCAGUAAGAGCACUGGGGCUGCAGGCUGUGGAAUCCUGAGACAAGAGAAGAGGAAACCAAGGAGGGCCGGUCAGAAAGUUGAUCUGAGACUUUACAGAGUUCCUGAGGAAUAAAGUCGAAGGAGCCCAGACCUUUCUGGACCUUUGGACGCUCCGGCAGCUAUGCAGAUAGAAGGUGUGUUCUCCUCCCCGGGCCCCUUGGCUGACAGCCAUGAUGAUAGCCGAUUCCCUUCCUUCUGAGCAACAGGGCGUCCAGUUCUCACUGCAGACUCCACCCUGCUUCAUCUACAUCUUGCUGUCCUCCAGUUCCUGCACCUCUAUGGAGCCCUUUUCAGCGUUCCCAGGUUGUCAGACGCCUCUCUGAGGGCCCUGCCCCUGGUACCGUGCCUCUAUUAGAACCUGGCUCACCGUGUCUGGCGAGGCUUUGCUCUGCUCCUCAGUGGGGCACUAGAUGGUGGAACCCUGGCGAACCAGAACUGUGCCACAGUCUUCUCUCUGUCCGUCCUCACACCUCAUAUGGAGCGUGGCAUAAACUAGGCACCAUUUGUUUGUUAAAUAAAAACAAAAUUCUUUCUCCUCAUUUCCCAUGAAAGUUGCAAUCUAAACCAGCAUAAUUAAG
RNAcentral lists this long non-coding RNA (1216 nucleotides) under Papio anubis (olive baboon). RNAcentral's name for it is "lncRNA (ENSPANG00000040182.1)". The record is from RNAcentral. Lineage: Eukaryota; Metazoa; Chordata; Mammalia; Primates; Cercopithecidae.